Molecule: ribosomal RNA, 416 nt
Filed under: uncultured bacterium
Lineage: Bacteria
Description: bacterial SSU rRNA
Rfam family: Bacterial small subunit ribosomal RNA
Source: RNAcentral
GAUGAACGCUAGCGGCAGGCUUAACACAUGCAAGUCGAGGGGUAUAGUAGCAAUACUAGAGACCGGCGCACGGGUGCGUAACGCGUAUGCAACCUACCUUUUACAGAGGGAUAGCCCAGAGAAAUUUGGAUUAAUACCUCAUAGUGUUAUUAGAUGGCAUCAUUUGAUAACUAAAGUUCCAACGGUAAAAGAUGGGCAUGCGUCCUAUUAGCUAGAUGGUAAGGUAACGGCUUACCAUGGCUACGAUAGGUAGGGUCCUGAGAGGGAGAUCCCCCACACUGGUACUGAGACACGGACCAGACUCCUACGGGAGGCAGCAGUGAGGAAUAUUGGACAAAUGGGCGCAAGCCUGAUCCAGCCAUGCCGCGUGCAGGAUGAAGCCUCGGUUGUAAACGUAGCUUUGUACGGAACGAAAC